This 492-nucleotide ribosomal RNA is filed under the name uncultured bacterium. Its description in RNAcentral is "partial 16S ribosomal RNA". It matches the Rfam family "Bacterial small subunit ribosomal RNA", at positions 30 to 507 of the family's 1533-position model. The record is from RNAcentral.
AUUGAACGCUGGCGGUAGGCCUAACACAUGCAAGUCGAACGGCAGCACAGUAAUAGCUUGCUCUUACGGGUGGCGAGUGGCGGACGGGUGAGGAAUACAUCGGAAGCUGCGUUUUCUUGGGGGAUAACGUAGGCAAACUUACGCUAAUACCGCAUACGGCCUACGGGUGAAAGCAUCGGACCUUCGGACCUUACGCGAGUGAAGGAGCCGAUGUCGGAUUAGCUAGUUGGCGGGGUAAAGGCCCACCAAGGCGACGAUCCGUAGCUGGUCUGAGAGGAUGAUCAGCCACACUGGAACUGAGACACGGUCCAGACUCCUACGGGAGGCAGCAGUGGGGAAUAUUGGACAAUGGGCGAAAGCCUGAUCCAGCCAUACCGCGUGGGUGAAGAAGGCCUUCGGGUUGUAAAGCCCUUUUGUUGGGAAAGAAAAGCAGUAGGUUAAUACCCCGCUGUUCUGACGGUACCAAAAGAAUAAGCACCGGCUAACUUCGUG